RNAcentral lists this ribosomal RNA (253 nucleotides) under uncultured bacterium. RNAcentral's name for it is "partial 16S ribosomal RNA". It matches the Rfam family "Bacterial small subunit ribosomal RNA", at positions 524 to 776 of the family's 1533-position model. The record is from RNAcentral.
UACGGAGGGUGCAAGCAUUGAUCGGAAUUACUGGGCGUAAAGGGCGCGUAGGCUGUCGAAGAAGUCAGAUGUGAGAUUCCGGGGCUCAACCCCGGAGCUGCAUUUGAAACUCUUUGGCUAGAGUACAGUUAGGGUAAACGGAAUUCCACGUGUAGCGGUGAAAUGCGUAGAUAUGUGGAAGAACACCGGUGGUGAAGACGGUUUACUGGGCUGAAACUGACGCUGAGGCGCGAAAGCUAGGGGAGCAAACAGG